GUCGCGCUCGUCGGCGGCUACGACUGCGAGCUUGGUGCGCACGCAGCCGAGGAUCACCUCGUCGUCGCUCGGCUCGGCGCCGCCGCGC
Molecule: transfer RNA, 88 nt
Filed under: bacterium HR41
Lineage: Bacteria
Description: tRNA-Thr
Source: RNAcentral